Molecule: ribosomal RNA, 466 nt
Filed under: uncultured bacterium
Lineage: Bacteria
Description: partial 16S ribosomal RNA
Rfam family: Bacterial small subunit ribosomal RNA
Source: RNAcentral
GAUGAACGCUGGCGGCGUGCUUAACACAUGCAAGUCGAACGGAAAGGCUCCUGCUUGCAGGGGUACUCGAGUGGCGAACGGGUGAGUAACACGUGGGUGAUCUGCCCUGCACUUCGGGAUAAGCCUGGGAAACUGGGUCUAAUACCGGAUAGGACGAUGGUUUGGAUGCCAUUGUGGAAAGUUUUUUCGGUGUGGGAUGAGCUCGCGGCCUAUCAGCUUGUUGGUGGGGUAAUGGCCUACCAAGGCGUCGACGGGUAGCCGGCCUGGGAGGGUGUACGGCCACAUUGGGACUGAGAUACGGCCCAGACUCCUACGGGAGGCAGCAGUGGGGAAUAUUGCGCAAUAGGCGCAAGCCUGAUGCAGCGACGCCGCGUGGGGGAUGACGGCCUUCGGGUUGUAAACUCCUUUCGCUAGGGACGAAGCGCAAGUGACGGUACCUGGAGAAGAAGCACCGGCUAACUACGUG